RNAcentral lists this ribosomal RNA (492 nucleotides) under uncultured bacterium. RNAcentral's name for it is "partial 16S ribosomal RNA". It matches the Rfam family "Bacterial small subunit ribosomal RNA", at positions 29 to 507 of the family's 1533-position model. The record is from RNAcentral.
AGUGAACGCUGGCGGUAGGCCUAACACAUGCAAGUCGAACGGCAGCACAGUAAGAGCUUGCUCUUACGGGUGGCGAGUGGCGGACGGGUGAGGAAUACAUCGGAAUCUACUUUUUCGUGGGGGAUAACGUAGGGAAACUUACGCUAAUACCGCAUACGACCUACGGGUGAAAGCAGGGGAUCCUCGGACCUUGCGCGAUUGAAUGAGCCGAUGUCGGAUUAGCUAGUUGGCGGGGUAAAGGCCCACCAAGGCGACGAUCCGUAGCUGGUCUGAGAGGAUGAUCAGCCACACUGGAACUGAGACACGGUCCAGACUCCUACGGGAGGCAGCAGUGGGGAAUAUUGGACAAUGGGCGCAAGCCUGAUCCAGCCAUACCGCGUGGGUGAAGAAGGACUUCGGGUUGUAAAGCCCUUUUGUUGGGAAAGAAAAGCAGCAGGUUAAUACCCCGCUGUUCUGACGGUACCCAAAGAAUAAGCACCGGCUAACUUCGUG